GGCGGGCAAGGCCCCCGAUCACGUGAUCCCGCCCCCCCCUCCCCCACCAACUAAGGGCGGAAGAGGCCGGCGACACCUCUGCACGAAGCGAGUGGGCGGCCGCUCGUGCCCGGCUAAAAGAUGGCUGCUGCCGCCGGGCAGCCACCGCCUGGGAGGUUACUGUAAGGCCCGCAACUCCCGCCAGCUCCCGCGAACCGCUGCCGCCUCCUUACCAUGAAGCCAGUGAGUCGUCGCACGCUGGACUGGAUUUAUUCUGUGUUGCUGCUUGCCAUCGUUUUAAUCAACUGGGGCUGCAUCAUCUAUGCUUCAAUGGUGUCUGCAAGACGACAGCUAAGGAAGAAAUACACAGACAAAAUCUUUGGGACGAAUGAAAAUUUGUAACUCCUCUGGAUUUAAUUCUUUGAAAAUACAGUUCUUUCCCUCAUGCUUAUGUAGAUUUAAAAAUAAAAUUCAUAAUGCAAAGUUCCCAAGUUUA
Mandrillus leucophaeus (drill) is the source of this 475-nucleotide long non-coding RNA. RefSeq lists it as uncharacterized. The transcript has 2 exons. The record is from RefSeq and is a predicted model, not a curated record. NCBI's taxonomy places the organism in Eukaryota, Metazoa, Chordata, Mammalia, Primates, Cercopithecidae.